AUAACCUUUAUACGGUGAAACUGCGAAUGGCUCAUUAUAUCAGUUAUAAUUUACAUGAUGAUGACUUGCUACAUGGAUAACCGUGGUAAUUCUAGAGCUAAUACAUGCAAAGGGCCCGCGAGGGUGGCAUUUAUUAGAUGGAACCAGCGAAAGAUGGUGAAUCAUGAUAACUGAGCGGAUCGCAUGGCCUCGAGCUGGCGACGCUUCAUUCAAAUUUCUGCCCUAUCAACUUUGGAUGGUAGGAUAGAGGCCUACCAUGGUGGUGACGGGUGACGGGGAAUUGGGGUUCGAUUCCGGAGAGGGAGCCUGAGAGAUGGCUACCACUUCCAAGGAAGGCAGCAGGCGCGCAAAUUACCCAAUCCCGACACGGGGAGGUAGUGACAGUAAAUAACGAUGCGGGGCCGUAUGGUCUUGCAAUUGGAAUGAGAGGAAUGUAAAUGCGUUAGCGAGUAACGAUU
This 458-nucleotide ribosomal RNA is filed under the name uncultured eukaryote. RNAcentral describes it as "bacterial SSU rRNA". It matches the Rfam family "Eukaryotic small subunit ribosomal RNA", at positions 67 to 549 of the family's 1831-position model. The record is from RNAcentral.